This 166-nucleotide unclassified non-coding RNA is filed under the name soil metagenome. Its description in RNAcentral is "partial contains 5.8S ribosomal RNA, internal transcribed spacer 2, and large subunit ribosomal RNA". The record is from RNAcentral.
AACGCACGAGACCUGCGGACCUGCGGAGGGAUCAUUAGUGAACGCCCUCACGGGCUUAUAACUAUUCCAAACCUCUGUGAGCCGUGCCCUUCGGGGCUAUUUUACAAACAUGGUGUAAUGAACGUCAUAUAUCAUAACAAAACAAAACUUUUAACAAUGGAUCUCU